UCUGCUUUCAGCCCAGGAGGCUGUACCUCAGGCUCCAUCAACUGUGGAAUGAGGGAGGAAAGGGGUGGCGGUUGCCACUGAGGAGCAGGCGCUGAGACGGAACAGUACAGCCAGAAUGAGUGCCAGCCCUGGUCUGCUGUCAAAACCAGUGAGAAGCAAGAGGCACAACUGAUGCUCACAUACAGGGACCCGGAAGUGCCACGGGUCUAUUUGGCAUCCAAAAACACAGGGAUUCUGUGGAGGACUCUCCAUGGAAAAGAUCUUGCUUGGGACUGCUGAUGCAGUGUGACAAGUGAACCUCGGGCACCUGCCACCAGGGUGGACUGUGUUUCCGCUGGGACUGGAAGUCCAAAUAGAACCCUUUCUGCCUUAAGCCGCCUUUGUCGGAUAUCCUAUCACAGCAACAAGAAAGGAACUAACACAGACUCUGAAUCUCUGAGUUAAAGCCCCCCCUUUUUCUCAUGAAGGGCCAGAGCAAUGAGCCAUAGACUAAGACACACCUACACAGAACUGAAAGCAGCUGGGAUCUGAAAUAAUCUAAUCCUAAUCCCCUAUAAACACAGAGCAGUCUGAGGGCCAGGAUCUUUCAUUCUUGCCUCAGGUCCACUAGGCUUACUGUGACAUAACGGACAGUGGCUUGAAUAUCCUGCUGGUUUGUAGGCCUUUCAGUGAAACUCAUAUGUCUACCCUGCAACUUUAUUAAAGUAGAAUCGCUAAGAUCUAGUGAAGAAAUGUAUAGGGCUGAAGAGGGGCUUAGUGGUUAAAAUCACUUGCUGCUGUUUCAGAGAACCUGGGUUUGGUUCCCACCAUCGACAUGAUGGCUCACAGUCAUCUGGAACUCCACUUUCAGAGUAUUCAAUGACCUUGUCUCCUCUACAAGCACCAGAGUUCAAGGUCAGCCUUAGGUACAAACUAAGUUCAAGGCCAGCCUAGACUACUUGUGAU
Long non-coding RNA from Myodes glareolus (Bank vole), 945 nucleotides. RefSeq lists it as uncharacterized. NCBI's taxonomy places the organism in Eukaryota, Metazoa, Chordata, Mammalia, Rodentia, Cricetidae. The record is from RefSeq and is a predicted model, not a curated record.